This 253-nucleotide ribosomal RNA is filed under the name uncultured bacterium. Its description in RNAcentral is "partial 16S ribosomal RNA". It matches the Rfam family "Bacterial small subunit ribosomal RNA", at positions 524 to 776 of the family's 1533-position model. The record is from RNAcentral.
UACAGAGGUCUCAAGCGUUGUUCGGAUUCAUUGGGCGUAAAGGGUGCGUAGGCGGCGCGGUAAGUCGGGUGUGAAAUCUUGGAGCUUAACUCCGAAACUGCAUUCGAUACUGGCGUGCUUGAGGACUGGAGAGGAGACUGGAAUUUACGGUGUAGCGGUGAAAUGCGUAGAUAUCGUAAGGAAGACCAGUGGCGAAGGCGGGUCUCUGGACAGUUCCUGACGCUGAGGCACGAAGGUCAGGGGAGCAAACGGG